This 407-nucleotide ribosomal RNA is filed under the name uncultured bacterium. RNAcentral describes it as "partial 16S ribosomal RNA". It matches the Rfam family "Bacterial small subunit ribosomal RNA", at positions 28 to 526 of the family's 1533-position model. The record is from RNAcentral.
GACGAACGCUGGCGGCGUGCCUAAUACAUGCAAGUAGGACGCAGUCGCGAACGGGUGAGUAACGCGUCGGUAACUGCCUAUUAGAGGGGGAUAACUAUUGGAAACGAUAGCUAAUACCGCAUACUAGUAGAUGUACCUGCGUUGUAUUAGCUAGUAGGUAGGGUAAUGGCCUAACUAGGCGACGAUACAUAGCCGAGUGUGGGUGGUGAUCGGCCACACUGGGACUGGGACACGGGCCCGACUCCUCAGGGAGGCAGCAGGAGGGAAUCUUCGGCAAGUGGGGGAACCCUGACCGAGCAACGCCGCGUGAGAGAAGAAGGUCUUCGGAUCGGAAAGCUCUGUUGUUCAGGAAGCGGUACCUAACCAGAAAGGGACGGCUAACUCCGUGCCAGCAGCCGCGGUAAUAC